CCAGACUCCUACGGGAGGCAGCAGUGGGGAAUAUUGCACAAUGGGGGAAACCCUGAUGCAGCGACGCCGCGUGAGCGAUGAAGUAUUUCGGUAUGUAAAGCUCUAUCAGCAGGGAAGAAAAUGACGGUACCUGACUAAGAAGCCCCGGCUAACUACGUGCCAGCAGCCGCGGUAAUACGUAGGGGGCAAGCGUUAUCCGGAUUUACUGGGUGUAAAGGGAGCGUAGACGGCGGUGCAAGCCAGAUGUGAAAGCCCGGGGCUCAACCCCGGGACUGCAUUUGGAACUGUGCUGCUAGAGUGUCGGAGAGGCAGGCGGAAUUCCUAGUGUAGCGGUGAAAUGCGUAGAUAUUAGGAGGAACACCAGUGGCGAAGGCGGUCUGCUGGACAGCAACUGACGCUGAGGCGCGAAAGCGUGGGGAGCAAACAGGAUUAGAUACCCCUGUAA
RNAcentral lists this ribosomal RNA (445 nucleotides) under uncultured bacterium. RNAcentral describes it as "partial 16S ribosomal RNA". It matches the Rfam family "Bacterial small subunit ribosomal RNA", at positions 331 to 793 of the family's 1533-position model. The record is from RNAcentral.